Molecule: ribosomal RNA, 499 nt
Filed under: uncultured bacterium
Lineage: Bacteria
Description: partial 16S ribosomal RNA
Rfam family: Bacterial small subunit ribosomal RNA
Source: RNAcentral
AUUGAACGCUGGCGGCAGGCUUAACACAUGCAAGUCGAGCGGAGAUGAGGUGCUUGCACCUUAUCUUAGCGGCGGGCGGGUGAGUAAUGCUUAGGAAUCUGCCUAUUAGUGGGGGACAACAUUCCGAAAGGAAUGCUAAUACCGCAUACGUCCUACGGGAGAAAGCAGGGGAUCUUCAGACCUUGCGCUAAUAGAUGAGCCUAAGUCGGAUUAGCUAGUUGGUGGGGUAAAGGCCUACCAAGGCGACGAUCUGUAGCGGGUCUGAGAGGAUGAUCCGCCACACUGGACUGAGACACGGCCCAGACUCCUACGGGAGGCAGCAGUGGGGAAUAUUGGACAAUGGGGGAAACCCUGAUCCAGCCAUGCCGCGUGUGUGAAGAAGGCCUUAUGGUUGUAAAGCACUUUAAGCGAGGAGGAGGCUACUGAGACUAAUACUCUUGGAUAGUGGACGUUACUCGCAGAAUAAGCACCGGCUAACUCUGUGCCAGCAGCCGCCGUA